CAAAAUUAGAAAAAAGUUGUCUCUGUCCAAAUAUUUAUGGACAUAACUGUAAAUCAAUACAAAUUUACAUGCUAUAGGAUGAACAGCAAUACAGAAGAAUUAAUUAGAUUUAUGUCUCAUAAUAGCAGUAAGACAUCAUCACAUCUAUCAAUACAGCGAUGUUCCUUUAAGCCAGUCAGUACCCUUUGACAUUUGAUUUUCCGUUUGUAUUUGUAGCAACCGCAAAGAUGAUGACAGUGCCGGUUUUGGAGAAGUCAGUGACAAAAUAGAAGAGUUGGUGAUGGCAUUUCAAAGUCUACCAGCUGUUACAGCAGCAAUCAGAGAGCUCACUGAUCUUGCAGUUACCCAGAGAGUCAUACUCACUGCUCCCAAACUACAGACCAUCAAGGAGGGAUUUAGCCGCGUGGUUUGUAUGAACAUCAUUGAGGAACCAGUGCUCUCACUGUGCUGCAGAAGCAUUAUUGGCUGCAAGACAUGUGUGGAGCAGUGGCUAGAGACAUCUCAGCACUGCGCAAAAUGCAGGGAGGCCAACAACAGUAUUAUAGAAGUUACUGGUUUAACAGCUGCAUUUUCUGUGUUGAAAUCAUUUUUUUACAGAGGAGUAAUGUGGUUUACAUUUACAGUCAGUUGAUUGUUUCCUGUCUGUUCUGUACAGUUUUCAGAUGCAGCAGUUCAUACAUUUCUCUGAGUUACAUUUAUGAGAAAGAGCAGAGCUUCUUUGUAUGGUGUAAAGUCACUGUUUACGGCUCUGAAAAGCAAAUGUGAAAUGUCAAGAUAUUUUUCUGAAAAAUGACUCUCUGUUCUUAGUUUGUCCUGUUCUGUUGUGAAGGCAUCAACUCCAAAAGUUGAAUAUUCUUUGAGUGCAGAUCCCAUGUGCUGCCUGUAAAGGUCUCCAGCUUCAAGUGCAUGUGGUAAGAGCUCUGGAGAAAUUCUUCUUUUACAGCCAGGUUCCGCAAAGUGAUUUGGUAUGCCUUUUCCUGUCAAAAUAAGAGCAGAUGUUUAAACGUGGUCAUUAUCAGGGUUGUAAUCAUUCUCACACUUCCUUUUUUAUUUUUUUACCUGGGAUUCUAUGAGCAUUCCAUGAUUCUGCCACACUUGCAAGACCAAUAUGGCACAGCUGGCAGGUCAGGUUGGACACACAGUAUUGAACAAGGUUGUCCUCCAUACCUAUCUCCUCCUGGUCCGUCAGCUGGAGUAGGGCUGUUUUCAGUGGAUAGUUGACAUGGUUGGUGAUCUCAGGCCAAAUCCUUUCAACUGUGUGGUUCUGUGUUAGCAGAAACAUCUCUUAAAAUGUUUAACAAAAGCUGAAAUUCUUACACUACUACUUACAUACUUGUAAAUGGUAUGAAAAUCUUACUCUUGUGGAUGAAGUCUGUAAAUAUGGCGGUCUCUCCUGAUUGAAGCGAUGAUGUGACAGCAUCUCCUGCAUGAACAGUGUCAUAUAAAAUUCCUUUCCAUGGUCCACUCGCACCUGGUCCCACAUACCAUAGGUGAUUACUGCAGACCUGGUACAGGACAAAUAAUGAACGUUUAUUUUACUAUCUUUUCAAAGUAUUUUGAUCUUUGACCAGUUAAAGGGGUUAUUUUUACAUUAAUUAAUGUUGAAUGUACCCAUUCAUGUUGAUUUGUGUUAUUUAUUAGUUGUAGUAAGACACCACUCUUACCCAGAAUGCCUUAAAUUUCUUUGUAAUGUCACUGUCAUGCUCAGACGUUGUAGAUGUGUGUCAGUACAAAAAAAAAAGAAGUGGAAACCCAAGAACUUUGUUCUAUUCAUAAAUGACGUUUAACUGUGCAAUAAAUGUGAGUUAUCUGA
Molecule: long non-coding RNA, 1813 nt
Organism: Polypterus senegalus (gray bichir)
Lineage: Eukaryota; Metazoa; Chordata; Cladistia; Polypteriformes; Polypteridae
Exons: 2
Source: RefSeq, a predicted model, not a curated record